GCCAGACUCCUACGGGAGGCAGCAGUGAGGAAUAUUGGUCAAUGGUCGGGAGACUGAACCAGCCAAGCCGCGUGAGGGAGGAAGGUACAGAGUAUCGUAAACCUCUUUUGUCAGGGAACAAAGGCGGGGACGUGUCCCCGGAUGAGUGUACCUGAAGAAAAAGCAUCGGCUAACUCCGUGCCAGCAGCCGCGGUAAUACGGAGGAUGCGAGCGUUAUCCGGAUUUAUUGGGUUUAAAGGGUGCGCAGGCGGUCUGUUAAGUCAGCGGUCAAAGCCCGGGGCUCAACCCCGUACUGCCGUUGAAACUGCAUCCCUUGAGUGCGCGAGAAGUAUGCGGAAUGCGUGGUGUAGCGGUGAAAUGCAUAGAUAUCACGAAGAACCCCGAUUGCGAAGGCAGCCUGCCGCAGCGUUACUGACGCUGAAGCUCGAAAGCGCGGGUAUCGAACAGGAUUAGAUACCCUAGUAA
This 465-nucleotide ribosomal RNA is filed under the name uncultured bacterium. RNAcentral's name for it is "bacterial SSU rRNA". It matches the Rfam family "Bacterial small subunit ribosomal RNA", at positions 330 to 793 of the family's 1533-position model. The record is from RNAcentral.